ACGAGGAGGACCCCAGACUGUCCCCCGAUUGCCCCGUCGACGAUGUUGUCUACCGCUACGCAUCGGACACGUUCUGCAUACUGAGCAUGAGGCGAGACCUAUGGAUUUACAGCGCGGAGCGAUUGCACGACGGCGGCGUUUCCUUUCACCGGACUUUGGUGGUGAGAGGACCAGAUUUCUUGGGGGCCCCCCUGGGCCGUUACAUCGUCGCCGCGGGAGGAGAGGACUUGAUGAUUGUCUGGCCCAGGCGCAGUCUCACCAGACGGGGCAAUGCGAGUUUCCAGCUGUACAUCCUUCAGAGAGAUUCGCCGACGAGCUGGUCGUGGCGCCUCCAGAGCGACCCUACAGGUUUCAUUGUGUUCGUCGGCCGUGGCUGCUCGACGGCCUACCGCGCAGCUGCCGGCAAGCCAACUGUUCUACACUUCAUCGACGGCCUUGGUAGCCCCAGCCGUAUCUACCGGCGCCAUGACAGCCGGCAGAGACCGUUCGUGAGUUAUGCCGACCAGGUGAUCGAGAGGAUGCUGCCCGCGGCGAGUAUCGUUCAGUCCCCAGAUGUCUGGCUGCUCUGUCCCGGAUAUGGGGACAGCGAGUGAUUUUUUUUGUUCGUGACAAUGUUCAAGCUUAACGAAUUUUUUAGUUGGAAUUGUCGUCUAAUUUUUCUUUAAUCCUGUGUAUGGAGAAUGCCCCAUGGAGAGAUUGGUUCGAGUUGGAUGAUUUUGUUGAAAAUUGGUACAUUAAUUUCGGUUCGAAUUUUGCUAUCUGAAACUUGCUGAAUUUCCCCCCCCAAUUUCAGUACAGCCCUUCAGUUUCAGACUUGUUGCAAUGUUGUGCGAUUUCAUUGGAUCCGGCCGCGGCCGCGAUGGCGGCCGUCGUCUGCCAUCUCCCGCGGUGAUAUGUUGCUACUACAUCAAUUUCUGUGUAAAAUUUGCUGAAUUUCCCCUCUUUUCAGUACAUAGAGCUUCAGGCUUCUUCGCGGUGUUGUGGAUUUCAGUGGAUCCGGCCGUCCUUCUCCCGCCGUCCCCAAAUAUAGUCCGUAGCUCUCUUCCAGACAUGGCUUGAUUGGGAGCCUGCUCCAGCCUCGACCCUCCAGCAGUCGGGCGAGCUGCCUCGCCCUGCCCCCUCCGCCCUUUCCACUCCAUCGCGCUCCCGGCGGCGAAAACCACUGCCACUCCCUACUGGCUUCAGCUACCGGCGGGUUCAAAGUCUCUGAUCAACUAGUUACAUCAACGCGGGAAGGUUGCUGAUCUCCGUUGGGUUUGAUCUGGCGUAAUAUCCUGGUCCGCGAUUGGUUGAUUCGGAGGAAGGCAGCAGCGGUCUAGUUCAAACUCGGUACAGUCCAGAAGGUGCCCACCAUCUGUUUGAGAAAAUGUCUGUGUGGCAGAAUUCAACUACGAGCUGCGUUCUGUGCGUCACCAUCACUCUACUGAUCUACCCUGGUACUGAGUUUGUAGCUGCACACAUGACUGAAGGGGGACUAUUGGGUUCAUCAACAAGGGUCGUGGCUGUUGAGGAAAUCAGAUGGUUUGCUGCCAGAAAAUGUGUGCAUCACUUUGGGAACAAGGUCAUUCUUCUGCAGAUCGGAAAUAUGGACAAUUAAGCAGACAUAUAUUGUUCCUUUAGUACAAGAUUGUUGUCUUAAGUCUGAUGAUACUUUUUCUGCAAGUGGAUGUUUAUAUCACGCACAUGCUCGUGUUCGUUUGUCUGAUGCACUAGGAGCUACACCAUUUGACAUUGCUUUUCAGGUUGAAUGGCUCAUAUGCAGUUUGGGAAAACUGAAUUACAUAACUACUAGGUGUUCAUUUGGGGUGGAAAAGGGAAGGAUAAUUUCUGCAACUCUGUUUGAACAAUGGGAUCCAGGAAUAAAUCUUCUAUGUUGGUGCAUGUUGCUGUCCCAGUGCUUCAAGGAGUAUUUUAUAGCUACUGUGCCGCAGCUUAAGAUGUUUUUCAGCUUGAUUGCACAAUGGGAUUUGUCUAAAUAUUCAUGUGAGACUAAUCCUAUGAUGCUUGCGCUCAUGAAGUCUAAGGUGCAGCACUUGGCUCACAGGUUAUGCAAACCAUGGGAUCCUGGAGUUUUAAUUUUUUCCUGUUGGGUAAUGAAGGGCAAACUCUUUAAAAGAAACACCAGCUUGUAUUCUAUGAAGAACCAGUUGAUUGAUCCAUUCCUUCAGGAUGAUGGCAAAACAGUUCUUGGGGUUGAGCUUUAUGUGCAAUGGGACACGAGAAUUAUGAAGAGUACUGGUAUAAAUGCAAUUUCAGGUUUCAGAAAACUGUCAGUUACACAAGGUAUAAAUUUCAGUGUUGCAUCUCAGAUGAUGGAUGUGGAGCAUAAAUAUCUUUUACAUGAUGCUCCUUGGGCAUUUUCUCAACGAUGUUCUCGCUGCUUGUCAAUCUGGAAGUUAUGCACUCACAUCAGUACAUACAAGCAUGGUCAAUGGAAUUGACACAAAACUUAAGAUGCCGUGCAACACUGGAAUUUUUGUACCUAUUUCUGCUAGGCUAUCUCCAGCAAGAAAUCUUACGCUCAUUGCAAUCCAUGUAAAAGCAGUGUUCUGUACCAUUAGUUCUCGAUUUGUGGAAGUUAAUUGGGUGAUACAAGCUUGGAAAGAAGUGAAGUUACCAUGGGGGCUUAUACAUAAAGGUUACAUCAGUCCAGUGAGGAUGAUGUGCUCUUGGCUAUCACUUACUAUCUUUCAGGCUGUAGUUAACAAAGAGUGAUGAUGAUCCUACUGCCAACAACUUCAGUUUUGUCAAGCACUAAAACAGCACAUCUGAGAUUCAAAAAAUCAUGGGCCACCAUGCUGCAGCCUACUACUUUCGAAAGUACACUAUAUAAUGGUGAUAUGAUCGAGAGAAUGUUGUUGAGGAUACAUGAAAUGGCCCAUCUGUCAGCUGGCACUACAUUUGGCACAUUGUUCCACUAUUCAGCUGACGCCACUUCUCCUAAGGUGUUCAGCACAUUCUCGAAGCUGCUUAGAAACAAGCAUCCAACAUUAUCAUGGGACCCACGUAACCUGGAUACAUGACUAUUUGCUCAUUCCGACACUGAUACAUGUGAUCCUAGUGGUGUUUGUCGAAGCGGCUUGAGGGCAAGCCGGAAUUUAAGGGGGCGAGAAUGUCAUGCCUGGCUUGUAACAGGAUGCGCCUUGCCAACGUGGGCCCUAAGCAACAUGUGUUGGGCCUGGUGGACAAAACUGGCAGCACAUAUAGCAGGGUUUCCCUAUCCUACGCUUGACGCGAAGGAGAUCGCGCUGACACGUCGAGGACAGUCCCGCCUGGGCCGGCCCAAUUCCGUCGCAUCUCCUUUCCGCUCGGUCUGGUCUGACCCGGUUUUGCUUUCAGUUACCAGGAUCAACAUAGUUGUGUAUCUCUAUCUCUGCUCCAAGGAUACGAGGCCAGUUCAAUGGGGAAGGAUGGGUCAGACAGAAGCAGCGGCCGGAAUCCGUGCCUGAGGUUUGUCUCCGUCGUUGGCUGCAUCGGUAUCGCCAUAUGCAAGUGAUUCUUCUCCAUCAUUUCUGAUUUAUUUUCCCGUGAUUUUAAGGUUAGUGAAUCAUCUUCUGGAUAAAAUCAGAUUGUGGGGGAUUUAGGAUUUGCGAUAUGUAUCGGUUUUUCGUUGUGCUUCCUCACUGGUUGGAGUUUCUUCUUCCAUCCAGGGAUUUGAUGUCUUUGAACAGUCAAUAGAUGGCUGUUGUGCUUCCUUCAGCUGGUUGGAGGAAAUCAGAUUGUAGCUAUUUGAUACUGUAGUGAAAUGAAUUUAGAACU
This is a long non-coding RNA of Lolium perenne, 3759 nucleotides long. RefSeq lists it as uncharacterized. NCBI's taxonomy places the organism in Eukaryota, Viridiplantae, Streptophyta, Magnoliopsida, Poales, Poaceae. The record is from RefSeq and is a predicted model, not a curated record.